This is a long non-coding RNA of Vulpes vulpes (red fox), 1316 nucleotides long. Lineage: Eukaryota; Metazoa; Chordata; Mammalia; Carnivora; Canidae. The record is from Ensembl.
AUGCUGGACUCCAGCACAAGACUGGGAGAAGAAUCAGAGUUACAUAAGCCACAUGAAGUGAGUUCUACACAAAGAAGGGAACCUGAAAGUACAACUUUCCCAGAGAAAGAUCUUUCCUUCUCACCAAAAAGCAUCAGGAAGAAUUGGAAGGAGAGAGGUCCAUGCUACCCCAGGUAUGGAGGAGGCUCAACUGCAAGAGAGAACAAACAUGAGGGGCUGGCUUUUGAAGGGGGGCGACAAGGCUGUGUUCCAGAGUCUGCUGGGCAGGGGGUGGGGGUGGGGAAGAAAGGAAAAAGACGGGGAUACCGUUUACAGAAUGAGAAGAACUGGAGGUUCCUUCCUCUCAGGCUCUGUCUUGUGUCUGCAUGGAGCCUCUCUGAGGGAGAGAAAUAGAUUCCAGCUCUGCUGAGAAGUCUGCACAAUUUAACAACUUGACUAACACCCCGGCUAGGAACCAAGUCACUGAAUUUUGUGACAUUUCACCUAGACUGCAUAAAAAAUAAGCCCUUGGGCUCCUGCUGCCCAGCCUUCUUCUGGGAAGAAGGCCACUGUCUGAUGUGGAGGACCUCGGGGCACACCCUCAUUGCCUCAGAGGGCCCUGGGUCUGACAGAGGCUGAUCUUUCCAAGCUUUAACGCAGCAUUUCACAGCGACUUUCUCACCUUCGUCUUUGCACCAGGCUUUCCUGACAGUGCUCUGGAUUGGAUGUUUGCUCAGAAGCCAUUUUUUAAUUUUAGCCUUGUUUGGCAUCUGGAGAGCUGGGAGGCUUCCAAGCCAGCCAGUCACGAUUUCAUUUCGUUGAAAGUCCUUCCUUGACGUAUUCCCGUCCUCUUGCAUUUUAUAACGAGCAGCAGGAGCAGCCAGGUAACACUUGCCACACCUGGUGGGAAACCUCCUCUGCUGGAUCACCCAGUAUGGCAGGUGGACCUCCUGCCUUCCACGGGCCUGCAGGUGACAGCAUUGCCCUCAUAUUUCCAAAAUCACUGCCCACACCUCAUCAUUUCCAAUCAGAGCCCCAUUCGUGGUAUAUGGGGGGGAGGACUGAGUCUCCACAUCCUCACAGUAAAUCUCCAGUACUACCUCUCAGCCAGCGUGUCCAUUGUGUCCAUCCUUAAUUAAGUACCAGCAUUUCUGGUACUAAUGGUAGUACAGGAAGAGGAAAUGGGGGGUUGGGGCAGGAAUCAUGGUGGGUGAUGGGGCAGCAGCGCAGGUAGACAGGUGAUAAAUGGAGAAAAAGAAUAAUUAAAACCCCUUAUGCUUGGCAUACUGUUUAUGAGGGCCAGUGCAGAACCUAGAAUAAAGACAUGAUUUUAAUCA